RNAcentral lists this ribosomal RNA (775 nucleotides) under uncultured bacterium. RNAcentral describes it as "bacterial SSU rRNA". It matches the Rfam family "Bacterial small subunit ribosomal RNA", at positions 8 to 796 of the family's 1533-position model. The record is from RNAcentral.
AGAGUUUGAUCCUGGCUCAGAACGAACGCUGGCGGCGUGGAUCAGACAUGCAAGUCGAACGAGGUUAAUUUGGUAGCAAUACUAGGUUAGCUUAGUGGCGAACGGGUGCGUAACACGUGACCAACCUGCCUAGAAGUGGGGGAUAGCUCGGCGAAAGCCGGAUUAAUACCGCAUGUGAUCGCAAGAUUAAAGCAGCAAUGCGCUUUUAGAGGGGGUCGCGGCCUAUCAGCUAGUUGGUGAGGUAACGGCUUACCAAGGCAGCGACGGGUAGCUGGUCUGAGAGGACGACCAGCCACACUGGAACUGAGACACGGUCCAGACACCUACGGGUGGCAGCAGUCGAGAAUUUUUCUCAAUGGGGGAAACCCUGAAGGAGCGACGCCGCGUGGAGGAUGAAGGCUUUCGGGUUGUAAACUCCUGUCAUCUGGGAACAAAACUCGCAAGAGCUUGAUAGUACCAGAAGAGGAAGAGACGGCUAACUCUGUGCCAGCAGCCGCGGUAAUACAGAGGUCUCAAGCGUUGUUCGGAUUCAUUGGGCGUAAAGGGCGCGUAGGCGGUGGGGUAAGUCUGGUGUGAAAUCUCGGAGCUCAACUUCGAAAUUGCACUGGAUACUGCUCUGCUAGAGGGCUGGAGAGGAGAUCGGAAUUCACGGUGUAGCAGUGAAAUGCGUAGAUAUCGUGAGGAAGACCAGUGGCGAAGGCGGAUCUCUGGACAGCUCCUGACGCUGAGGCGCGAAGGCUAGGGGAGCAAACGGGAUUAGAUACCCCCGUAGUCC